RNAcentral lists this ribosomal RNA (492 nucleotides) under uncultured bacterium. RNAcentral's name for it is "partial 16S ribosomal RNA". It matches the Rfam family "Bacterial small subunit ribosomal RNA", at positions 29 to 507 of the family's 1533-position model. The record is from RNAcentral.
AGUGAACGCUGGCGCUAGGCCUAACACAUGCAAGUCGAACGGCAACACAGUAAGAGCUUGCUAUUACGGGUGGCGGGUGGCGGACGGGUGAGGAAUACAUCCGAAUCUACUUUUUCGUGGGGGAUAACGUGUGGAAACUUACGCUAAUACCGCAUACUACCUACGGGUGAAAGCAGAGGAUCUUCUGACCUUGCGCGAUUGAAUGAGCCGAUGUCGGAUUAGCUAGUUGGCGGGGUAAAGGCCCACCAAGGCGACGAUCCGUAGCUGGUCUGAGAGGAUGACCAGCCACACUGGAACUGAGACACGGUCCAGACUCCUACGGGAGGCAGCAGUGGGGAAUAUUGGACAAUGGGCGCAAGCCUGAUCCAGCCAUACCGCGUGGGUGAAGAAGGCCUUCGGGUUGUAAAGCCCUUUUGUUGGGAAAGAAAAGCAGCAGGUUAAUACCCCGCUGUUCUGACGGUACCCAAAGAAUAAGCACCGGCUAACUUCGUG